RNAcentral lists this ribosomal RNA (786 nucleotides) under uncultured bacterium. RNAcentral's name for it is "bacterial SSU rRNA". It matches the Rfam family "Bacterial small subunit ribosomal RNA", at positions 54 to 887 of the family's 1533-position model. The record is from RNAcentral.
CAUGCAAGUCGAACGAAAGUUUUUAACUUUAGUGGCGAACGGGUGCGUAAUACGUGAGAAUCUGCCCUUAGGAGGAGUAUAACUGCUGGAAACGGCUGCUAACACUCCAUAUGUCGAGAGAUGAAAUAAUUUAUUGCCUAAGGAUGAGCUCGCGCCUGAUUAGCUAGUUGGUGAGGUAAUGGCUCACCAAGGCCACGAUCAGUAGCUGGUUUGAGAGAACGAUCAGCCACACUGGGACUGAGACACGGCCCAGACUCCUCCGGGAGGCAGCAGUGAGGAAUUUUCCGCAAUGGGCGAAAGCCUGACGGAGCAAUACCGCGUGAGGGAUGAAGGAUUUUGGUCUGUAAACCUCUUUUCUCAAGAAAGAAGUUCUGACGGUACUUGAGGAAUAAGCAUCGGCUAACUCCGUGCCAGCAGCCGCGGUAAUACGGGGGAUGCAAGCGUUAUCCGGAAUCAUUGGGCGUAAAGCGCCUGUAGGUUGUUUAAUAAGUCUGUUGUUAAAGACUAGGGCUUAACCCUAGAAAAGCAAUGGAAACUACUAGACUAGAGUAUGGCAGGGGUAGAGGGAAUUUCUAGUGUAGCGGUGAAAUGCGUAGAUAUUAGAAAGAACACCGGUGGCGAAAGCGCUCUACUGGACCAUUACUGACACUCAGAGGCGAAAGCUAGGGUAGCAAAAGGGAUUAGAUACCCCUGUAGUCCUAGCCGUAAACGAUGGAUACUACAUGUUGUGUUUUUUAUACAGUAUGGUAGCUAACGCGUUAAGUAUCCCGCCUGGGGAGUACGCUC